GUCCCUAAACUAAUAAGUCCCCGGAAACAAACACCCUCUAAUCUUACGGCCUCAUUUGGCGCGAGUGGGUUGAGGGGGUUUCGAGGCGAUUUUCCUCGCGUGGGCCAGAAACCCCCAGAAACCACGUUGGCCCAUUUGGUACAGGGGGUUUGUAUGGGCCAAUCCAUGCGAAACCACGCGACUCGAAACCCUCGUCUAGCGACUCAGGGAAUCGCUCGUCCCAUCACACGCCGCCAGCGAGAGGAAGAGACGCCGCCGCCGUCACCACCGAGGGGAAGAGCCCCGCCACCGCCACCGAGGGGAAGAGCCCCGCCGGCGAGAGGAGGAGCCCCCACGCCGCCGCCCGACGCCCCGACACCACCCGACGCCCCGACGCCGCCCGACUCUGCCCAACGCCGGCGUUGCUCCUCCAGCAUACUGUCCUGUGGAGAGAAUCCAUGUUUCAAAUGUCCAUUGCCGGAGAUGUCAAGAUUCGUUAGUAGUUGAUGCAAAGGAGGAGGACUUGUUGGGUUGUGGUGACGUCCCCGACCUAAUUGAUGGAGAAGCAAUCCCUCAUCUCAAUGGUCGACAAGACAUCAGUGCAUGUCACCCAUAAUGGGCCUAUUUAGUACGUAUUGUAGGAUGUUAGCAAAGUUGGUCGAUCAACUGGCUGCUAAUUCUAUCAUCGUAGUUCAAUUCUGCAGCAAGGAUAUAAGGGUUACAUUGUAAAGAUUGGAUUUUUAAAUGUUCUACACAAUGUUAUGUCAACAUGACAAACCCUUUCUACCAAAUAGAAAUUUUAAACAAA
Molecule: long non-coding RNA, 787 nt
Organism: Aegilops tauschii subsp. strangulata
Lineage: Eukaryota; Viridiplantae; Streptophyta; Magnoliopsida; Poales; Poaceae
Source: RefSeq, a predicted model, not a curated record